RNAcentral lists this ribosomal RNA (491 nucleotides) under Aeromonas salmonicida. RNAcentral describes it as "bacterial SSU rRNA". It matches the Rfam family "Bacterial small subunit ribosomal RNA", at positions 45 to 525 of the family's 1533-position model. The record is from RNAcentral. Lineage: Bacteria; Pseudomonadati; Pseudomonadota; Gammaproteobacteria; Aeromonadales; Aeromonadaceae.
GGCUACACAUGCAAGUCGAGCGGCAGCGGGAAAGUAGCUUGCUACUUUUGCCGGCGAGCGGCGGACGGGUGAGUAAUGCCUGGGGAUCUGCCCAGUCGAGGGGGAUAACAGUUGGAAACGACUGCUAAUACCGCAUACGCCCUACGGGGGAAAGGAGGGGACCUUCGGGCCUUUCGCGAUUGGAUGAACCCAGGUGGGAUUAGCUAGUUGGUGGGGUAAUGGCUCACCAAGGCGACGAUCCCUAGCUGGGCUGAGAGGAGGAUCAGCCGCACUGGAACUGAGACACGGUCCAGACUCCCACGGGAGGCAGCAGUGGGGAAUAUCGCACAAUGGGGGAAACCCUGAUGCAGCCAUGCCGCGUGUGUGAAGAAGGCCUUCGGGUUGUAAAGCACUUUCAGCGAGGAGGAAAGGUUGGCGCCUAAUACGUGUCAACUGUGACGUUACUCGCAGAAGAAGCACCGGCUAACUCCGUGCCAGCAGCCGCGGUAAUA